GCAACCGGGGCUGACGAUGGAGUAGGACUCGGAUAAAAGAAACAGAAAAGGGAUUCAAAAAGGGGUCCUCUAGUGGUCUCUCCUGCCGCUCUCGAUCAUAGCGGCCACCAGCCUUGACGCUGCUCCUGGUCCUGCAUUCCUCUGUCCCCGGGCCCAGUGGAACAGCAUGUCCAGCACCAAGGCUCCCAGGUUGUCCCUGGAUGCGUCACCAGAGGGUUUUUUUAGCAUGAGGAGCAGGGGGAGGGACAGAUGAGCAUCAGUCUGUGUGUAAUCUCCUGCAGUGUCCCAGAUGGCUUAGUGAUGGCUGACAGUGCAGAUUAAAACAAUCAAAAUCCUCUAUCAUUUCUCUCCCCCUGCGGUUUUCCUUCAC
This is a long non-coding RNA of Perca fluviatilis (European perch), 370 nucleotides long. RefSeq lists it as uncharacterized. The transcript has 3 exons. Lineage: Eukaryota; Metazoa; Chordata; Actinopteri; Perciformes; Percidae. The record is from RefSeq and is a predicted model, not a curated record.